RNAcentral lists this ribosomal RNA (1181 nucleotides) under uncultured archaeon. Its description in RNAcentral is "bacterial SSU rRNA". It matches the Rfam family "Archaeal small subunit ribosomal RNA", at positions 17 to 1194 of the family's 1478-position model. The record is from RNAcentral.
CCGGAGGUUACUGCUAUCGGAGUUCGAUUAAGCCAUGCGAGUCUAAAGGUUUCUUCGGAAACCUUGGCGGACUGCUCAGUAACACGGUGGAUAACCUACCCUUGGGACUGGAAUAACCCCGGGUAAACUGGGGAUAAUACCGGAUAGAUCAGGGAUGCUGGAAUGCACCGUUGAUCCAAAGCUCCGGCGCCCAAGGAUGGGUCUGCGGCCUAUGAGGUAGUAGUGGGUGUAACGUACCUACUAGCCAACGACGGGUACGGGUUGUGAGAGCAAGAGCCCGGAGAUGGAUUCUGAGACACUAAUCGAGGCCCUACGGGGUGCAGCAGGCGCGAAACCUUUACAAUGUGCGAAAGCAUGAUGAGGGAACUCCGAGUGCCAGUAUCUAAUACUGGCUGUCCUUGUGCCUAAAACGCACAAGAUAGCAAGGGCCGGGUAAGACCGGUGCCAGCCGCCGCGGUAACACCGGCGGCCCGAGUGGUAGCCGCUAUUAUUGGGUCUAAAGGGUCCGUAGCCGGUUCGAUAAGUCCUCUGGGAAAUCUGGUUGCUUAACAAUCAGACUGCCAAGGGAUACUGUCGAACUUGAGACCGGGAGAGGUAAGAGGUACUUCAGGGGUAGGAGUGAAAUCUUGUAAUCCCUGGGGGACCAUCUGUGGCGAAGGCGUCUUACCAGAACGGGUCUGACGGUGAGGGACGAGAGCUGGGGGCGCAAACCGGAUUAGAUACCCGGGUAGUCCCAGCCGUAAACGAUGCUCGCUAUGUGUCAGGUACGGUGUGACCGUAUCUGGUGCCGUAGGGAAGCCGUGAAGCGAGCCACCUGGGAAGUACGGCCGCAAGGCUGAAACUUAAAGGAAUUGGCGGGGGAGCACUACAACGGGUGGAGCCUGCGGUUUAAUUGGAUUCAACGCCGGAAAUCUUACCGGGGGAGGCAGCAGCAUGAAGGUCAGGCUGAAGACCUUACCAGAUCCGCUGAGAGGAAGUGCAUGGCCGUCGUCAGUUCGUACUGUGAAGCAUCCUGUUAAGUCAGGCAACGAGCGAGACCCGUGCCCACAGUUGCCAGCAUACCCUUCGGGGUGAUGGGUACUUUGUGGGGACCGCCGCUGCUAAAGCGGAGGAAGGAGCGGGUUACGGUAGGUCAGUAUGCUCCGAAACUCCCGGGCUACACGCGGGCUACAAUGGUUGGG